UACGGAGGGUGCAAGCGUUAUCCGGAAUCAUUGGGUUUAAAGGGUGCGCAGGCGGUUUAAUAAGUCAGUGGUGAAAGCCCGUUGCUCAACAACGGAACUGCCAUUGAAACUGUUAGACUUGAAUUUAGUAGAAGUGGGCGGAAUGUGACAUGUAGCGGUGAAAUGCUUAGAUAUGUCACAGAACACCGAUAGCGAAGGCAGCUCACUAGGCUUGAAUUGACGCUCAUGCACGAAAGCGUGGGGAGCAAACAGG
RNAcentral lists this ribosomal RNA (253 nucleotides) under uncultured bacterium. Its description in RNAcentral is "partial 16S ribosomal RNA". It matches the Rfam family "Bacterial small subunit ribosomal RNA", at positions 524 to 776 of the family's 1533-position model. The record is from RNAcentral.